AGCAGAUCUGCCUUACAAUCUUGGUCUCGUUUUCAAUCAUAAGAGCUAUAAAUGAACCACUGAAGGCCAAAACAAGGCACACUGCAAAGGCAUGGAAGAUGAUAGAUGGAAGUUUUUUGAAGAUGAUGAUGGACAGAAUUCGAUUUCCGUCUAGCGAUAAUACGGUAGCUACUAUGAAGCAAAAACAGAAAAUAAAUUUCAUGAAGUUCUGUUGUUGGUAGGGAGUGAAGAUGUAAGAUGAAGGGUGGACACACUGAAGGGAUGCCAUCUUCUUAAAAUUUGGUUUUUU
This 289-nucleotide unclassified non-coding RNA is filed under the name Hevea brasiliensis (rubber tree). The record is from RNAcentral. Lineage: Eukaryota; Viridiplantae; Streptophyta; Magnoliopsida; Malpighiales; Euphorbiaceae.